RNAcentral lists this ribosomal RNA (99 nucleotides) under Priestia megaterium. Lineage: Bacteria; Bacillati; Bacillota; Bacilli; Caryophanales; Bacillaceae. The record is from RNAcentral.
UCUAGUGAUAAUGGCAAAGAGGUCACACCCGUUCCCAUACCGAACACGGAAGUUAAGCUCUUUAGCGCCGAUGGUGUUUCGUCUUUUUUAUUGUUUGAA